CCUACGAGUGGCAGCAGUGGGGGAUAUUGCACAAUGGGGGAAACCCUGAUGCAGCGACGCCGCGUGUAGGAAGACGGUCCUCUGGAUUGUAAACUACUGUCCCCAGGGACGAAGAUGACGGUACCUGGGGAGGCAGCUCCGGCUAACUCCGUGCCAGCAGCCGCGGUAAUACGGAGGGUGCAAGCGUUACUCGGAAUCACUGGGCGUAAAGAGCGGGGAGGCGGGAUAGCAAGUCAGAUGUGAAAUCCUAUGGCUUAACCAUAGAACGGCAGUUGAAAAUGUUAUUCUAGAGUAGGGGAGAGGGAGGUGGAAUGCUUGGUGUAGGGGUAAAAUCCAUAGAGAUCAAGAGGAAUACUCAUUGCGAAGG
RNAcentral lists this ribosomal RNA (367 nucleotides) under uncultured bacterium. RNAcentral describes it as "partial 16S ribosomal RNA". It matches the Rfam family "Bacterial small subunit ribosomal RNA", at positions 338 to 721 of the family's 1533-position model. The record is from RNAcentral.